Molecule: long non-coding RNA, 1489 nt
Filed under: Sus scrofa (pig)
Lineage: Eukaryota; Metazoa; Chordata; Mammalia; Artiodactyla; Suidae
Description: lncRNA (ENSSSCG00005033039.1)
Source: RNAcentral
UUAGGCAAAAGAGCAGCGCUUGGCCCCCACCGCGGGGGCCAGCGCACCCCUCGCGCGAGGGCGGCUCUUGCCCACACGCUGUGGCAAGUAGCACCGGCAGCUACUGCCUUGCAGACUUCAGGAGGGGCGGCGGCUGGGGGGUCCAGGUACCCCAAGGCCCCCCCUCUCAGAUCGCUAGAGAAGGCUUUCUCACCGAGGGCGCGUCGUGCCCCCCACACCAUCGUUCGCCCCUUCGGGGACCCACGGGAGUGGGAACACUCCCAAAAAGUGGGAAGUCAGAAGGGGGGGGGUCUGCGGUAUGGGUAAAGCACACAGCCCAUGUGAGCGUCCACGGUCAGAGCCGGGAGAGCAAGAGUCUGUGCUGCCACCAGGCUUGCCUUUCAGACUUUUCCACGUGGGUGGAGGGGUGCCACGUCCGGAAAGCCAGACGGGGACCCCCCCUUCACAUCUCCCGGCCCACCGCGGUCGCUCUCACGACCACAUGCAGCCUUCCCGGUCAAGGGAGAAGCAUGGGGCGUGCCGCUCAAGGGCCAAGGGCUGCCCUCACUGGCACACAGUGAGGGAGACCCAUGACAAGGGGUCCACCUGAGCCCCUCCCGGGGAGGGGACACAAGCUUCCCCUGCCUUACCGUCUCGACCCCCUCCCCUGAGCUUUAGGAAGCUGCUCGUGGGGCACGCCACCACCACAGUGGGGACCCGAGGGGACUCACCGCUGGGAGAGGAAAACGACACCACCGCUCGGCCUCGGGCAUCUGACAGGCAACCCGGAGUACUCCAGGGGCACCACAGAGGACCAGGGGAGGCACGCUCACGCACCCGCAGGGAUGCGAAGCAUGGCAGCGAGGGAGGCCUCCCCCCACUUUGGGGAGGGACCGCUCGCAAGGCACACGCCAAGGAGGCAAAGCGAGAAUGCCUGCUGCGUCCCAAAGGACCCAGGCCCCCCCCCCCGCCUGACACCCGAAGGCAGCAGGGCGGGAGACCAGAGGUCAGGCUGGAGGCCGCACCCCUGCCUUCCCCCACACCACCCGCAGGUGGGGGAGGAGCAGCGAGGGGCCCGCGACAGAAUGAGAGGCGCGGCCCAGCUCACCAUGAGCGGCCGUCCCUCAUCUGGCGCGGCUUAAGCCCAAGCCCAGGAGAGCGCCACAUCACCACAUCGAUCAGUCCUGGCAGAGCCAGGGAAGAGCCCAGAAGAGGGGAGGGAGGAAUGCCUGACACGUGGCACGGAGCCAACAGGGUGGGGUUGUUCCAGCCGAGCCGCCGGGUGCCCGCAGCAGGGAGGCACACAGGGUAGAAGACCCCACAGGGCCACGCGCCCUGCCGCCCUCGGGUCAGCCAGAGACCGGAGGAGACACCGCAGCACGGGCCAGCUGGAUGCACAAGUGAGAGCCGGCGCACAGGCCCAGGCGAGCGGCCCCCACGCGGGGUGCAAAGGGCAGGGUCAGGCCUUGGACAGCAGCCGAAAGCCCAAAGCCCCCCACGUGCAUCCAGA